AGAGACCAGAGAGCCAGUCCAACCCAGUCCAUCACCUGGAGGCUGGAGAACCACGAGGCUGUUGCCUGUUCGUCCCCCUCUUCUGAGAGGUCCAGGAGACCUGAAGGCUGCUUCCGCUAACCCGGGCUGGCGCUGCUAACCUCACCCAAAGAUCCCUGCUGUCGGAAAAUGUCCAGAGGCACCAUCCCUGCUAUGAAGAGGGAAUGCCAGUACAACAGCCACAAGGGGUCUUCCUGUGGCCCUCAAACAAAAAAUCACUGCAUUACAUCAGCAGACUGCAUUGGAGAGAAAGGCGCCGGGACAGAAAAGCCUGAGAUAAACCACCUAUCAUUCUUGGAGAAAAGGAUGCUGCGGCUUUCCCGAUUUGGUUGAUGAGAUGGAAAAUCAACCCUUACAGGAAGGACAUCACCAAUUCCGGAAAGGAUGCUGCGCCAGUCACGUUUCCGCACUUUGUGAGACGCUGAAAUCUCCAGAAGAUGCCCAAGGUUUUCAAGCUGAACACAGGAGAAAUGACUCUGGAUCUCUGAGGACUGUUUUCCUCAAUAAGGAGCUGCAAUCUUGGCUCCACCACCCUCCCUCCAAAACAUCUCGUGUGUCUGGUAUCUGGUUAUAUUGUGGCCUGACAGAGAAGUUUCUUUCGGGGCCAGUGAAUUUAAAAAAAAAAAAAGAAAAAGAAAAGCAGGUCCUACCAACUCAUUAAUACUUUAAUACUUUAAAUUUCCCUCUUUAUAGUAGGUUGAAAUGUCAGUAUCUCUUAAGAACAAUGGCUGAACCAAAUGUUUCCUCAAAACUCACAUUUUUUCCCACCAUUUCAGAAGCUGCCUCACGACUAAGCUUUGAUUUUUUUUUUUUUUAAUCUGGCCCAAAUUCCUAUCUAAGGGGCCUGGGGAGUCAUGCCCAACAAACCAUAAAUUCUCAUCAGAUGAGUUUUAUUUAACCCUAUAUAUGGUGACUUGCUUUCCAGUCUGACUCUGGCACGACAUGUGACAAAGAAGAAAG
This 999-nucleotide long non-coding RNA is filed under the name Pan troglodytes (chimpanzee). RNAcentral's name for it is "long non-coding RNA NONPTRT010491". The record is from RNAcentral. Lineage: Eukaryota; Metazoa; Chordata; Mammalia; Primates; Hominidae.